This 429-nucleotide ribosomal RNA is filed under the name Bacteroidota bacterium. Its description in RNAcentral is "Bacteroidetes bacterium partial 16S ribosomal RNA". It matches the Rfam family "Bacterial small subunit ribosomal RNA", at positions 355 to 776 of the family's 1533-position model. The record is from RNAcentral. Lineage: Bacteria; Pseudomonadati; Bacteroidota.
UAGGGAAUCUUCCGCAAUGGACGCAAGUCUGACGGAGCAACGCCGCGUGAGUGAAGAAGGAUUUCGGUUCGUAAAACUCUGUUGUUAGAGAAGAACAGCGCAUAGAGUAACUGUUAUGCGUGUGACGGUAUCUAACCAGAAAGCCACGGCUAACUACGUGCCAGCAGCCGCGGUAAUACGUAGGUGGCAAGCGUUGUCCGGAUUUAUUGGGCGUAAAGCGAGCGCAGGCGGUCAAUUAAGUCUGAUGUGAAAGCCCCCGGCUCAACCGGGGAGGGUCAUUGGAAACUGGUUGACUUGAGUGCAGAAGAGGAGAGUGGAAUUCAAUGUGUAGCGGUGAAAUGCGUAGAUAUAUGGAGGAACACCAGUGGCGAAGGCGACUCUCUGGUCUGUAACUGACGCGGAGGCUCGAAAGCGUGGGGAGCGAACAGG